RNAcentral lists this ribosomal RNA (301 nucleotides) under uncultured bacterium. RNAcentral's name for it is "partial 16S ribosomal RNA". It matches the Rfam family "Bacterial small subunit ribosomal RNA", at positions 509 to 807 of the family's 1533-position model. The record is from RNAcentral.
CAGUAGCCGCGGGAAUACAGAGGGUGCAAGCGUUAAUCGGAAUUACUGGGCGUAAAGCGCGCGUAGGUGGUUUGUUAAGUUGGAUGUGAAAUCCCUGAGCUUAACUUAGGAAUUGCAUUCGAUACUGGGAAGCUAGAGUAUGGGAGAGGAUGGUAGAAUUCCAGGUGUAGCGGUGAAAUGCGUAGAGAUCUGGAGGAAUACCGAUGGCGAAGGCAGCCAUCUGGCCUAAUACUGACGCUGAGGUACGAAAGCAUGGGGAGCAAACAGGAUUAGAUACCCCUGUAGUCCCUGUCUCUUAUAC